RNAcentral lists this long non-coding RNA (233 nucleotides) under Capsicum annuum. RNAcentral's name for it is "long non-coding RNA (CANN_LNC014067)". Lineage: Eukaryota; Viridiplantae; Streptophyta; Magnoliopsida; Solanales; Solanaceae. The record is from RNAcentral.
UUGGCCACAAGGCCAACCUCAUCACACACAUAGCAACCUCUAUGACUAGUCUCAACAAGAGAAAGUACAACUGAGUUCGAACGGUCACCCUAACUACUAAAGUACAACUAAGUCCGAACGGUCACCCUGAACUAGAAGAUCCACCAGCUGAAAUCUACAAAGUCACCUGCAUUGGCCUACCAUGAUAUCCACGAGAACCUCUAAAAUCUCUGCCUCGAGAGGUUCGACUCCUG